Molecule: long non-coding RNA, 359 nt
Organism: Lathyrus oleraceus (garden pea)
Lineage: Eukaryota; Viridiplantae; Streptophyta; Magnoliopsida; Fabales; Fabaceae
Exons: 2
Source: RefSeq, a predicted model, not a curated record
ACUAAUACAGUUUUUAGGCCUAUAUAAUAGAAGUUAUGUUAGUCUUACUGGUUACAAAGAAAUAAAAUAUAAAUUGAAAUCUUACAAAAUGGCAUGUCACACCAAUCAAUCUUGUUUUUUGAGUGUUUUAUGCCUUGUUUUGAUGGUUAGUUCGGGAUUGGUUACGAGUAUUUUGGUCCCUCCCGGAGGAGUUUGUAUAGGGCCUUGUGUUGCAACAUGCGACCAGGAUUGCCGUGGCAAGGGAUUUUGAAAAGGGGACAAUGUUAUAUUACUCUUGAGAAGACAACAUGUUAUUGUUUUCACUAAUGUAUUUUAUUCUAUGAAUUCAAUAAAAAUAAUAAAACGUGCACUUGAGUUUA